RNAcentral lists this long non-coding RNA (557 nucleotides) under Triticum aestivum (bread wheat). Its description in RNAcentral is "long non-coding RNA (TAES_LNC004434)". The record is from RNAcentral. Lineage: Eukaryota; Viridiplantae; Streptophyta; Magnoliopsida; Poales; Poaceae.
UUUGUUGUCACCACGAAUGUAGUACAGAAAAACUCUCAUAAAAAAGCAAUGUACACAAGAACUGUGCACACAUUGUCAUUUUGAAGAACAACAUAAUACAGGGAGUGGCAUGCACCCCUUUUUUGUCCUGGAAUUAGCAAUGGCAUGUACCACAAGUUUUGUCCGACUAAGGAUUGGCAUGCGCGGAGCCGCGGACAAUAGCUGGUUACUAAUUAUCCAUGUUUAUUUGCAGCCAAGAUUGAUAUGUGCAUAAAUGUCAUGCACCACAAGUAUUUUCUGGCUAAUAGGGAAUGUUACACAUGCCUAAUACUGUUGAUUUCCUAUUCAUCUGAUGGUAACGGCGCAGCAAGCAGCAUACUGCUGCUACCGCUGUUUUUAGGUGCAGCAAACAGCACAGGUCCUCAGCGGCAUGGCCAAUUCCCAACUGAUGCAACUAUGGGAUUCCUAGGGUGGACACGCACGAACCUGAACGGUGGCAGUGGAUGGGAACAGCGGCGGCGGAGGUGAUGCGAGGAGCUUCAUCGCCGGUCACGGUCUUCCCUCGAGAUUCAGCUGGG